RNAcentral lists this ribosomal RNA (253 nucleotides) under uncultured bacterium. RNAcentral describes it as "partial 16S ribosomal RNA". It matches the Rfam family "Bacterial small subunit ribosomal RNA", at positions 524 to 776 of the family's 1533-position model. The record is from RNAcentral.
UACGAAGGGGGCUAGCGUUGUUCGGAAUCACUUGGCGUAAAGCGCACGUAGGCGGAUGUGUCAGUCAGGGGUGAAAUCCCGGAGCUCAACUUCGGAACUGCCUCUGAUACAGCACGUCUUGAGUCCGGAAGAGGUGGGUGGAAUUCCUAGUGUAGAGGUGAAAUUCGUAGAUAUUAGGAAGAACACCGGUGGCGAAGGCGGCCCACUGGUCCGGUACUGACGCUGAGGUGCGAAAGCGUGGGGAGCAAACAGG